GUUCUCUUGGGCUUUUAAGGACGGGGGCUCUGAGAGAGGAGGUAAAAUCCAAGGAAGCAGCUGACUCCAGGGGAUCCAGUGUCAAGUAAAGGAUAUGGAUGUAGGCUCCAGCAAAAUGUGUAUCAGAGCAUGUGUUAAAAGCAGUCAUCAGUUGUCUUAUUUUAAGAGGAUACUUCAUGUCAUAGGUGUGGUCCGGUUUUAAAUAAACAGCCUCUGUUAUGAAGUUCAUUAUUUAGUCUUGUGAGUAGCCAGUAAAGAUGCUUGUUUGUUUAUUUUUAGUUUUGGGGUUGGGAUAGGGGAAGGAGCACCUAUGAAACUGGGGGGGCCUGAAUGCACUCCUAUCUAAGUACAAACUGAAUAUCAAUAGUAUUGAAUUCAAAUUAGCUUUUUUAACAAGUAACUAGAAAAUAAAGUUUGGUAUCUGUUUUAUUUGCUUGUGCUUGAGCCAAGUAAUUGAAAACUAGAGUUUCUGUUUCUAAUUAGUAGGGAGACAUAAAUGCUCUUUAUGUAAAGUACAGAUCAGUAUAGAUGAUUUGGUAAUAAUAAGAGAUAAUAUGCAUGCAUAUCACUUGAGUGGGAGACACAAGAAAUGCUGCAAAAUUACCAACACCCUUAGGUAUCAGAGAAUUUUUCAGUUGCCCCAUAGGAAUUGAAAACUUGCAUCUUGGAUAUGAAGGUUUCAUGCUAGUAUGAGUUCUUCUGAAGAUUUUGGCAGACUGCUGCCAGAGUGAUACAGAUACAAUCCAAAUGUGAACUGCUGUGCGAGACUGAAGUUUCAGUGUGCUGGUGAUGAAGGGGUGUAUGCGGGUGUUCUUCACAAAAGGUUUGGGGUUCGUGUGAGCUUUCAUGUACAAAUCUCUUUGAUCAAGAAAUCUAACUCAAAGUUUUCAGAAGAAACUGUUUUCUCCCAAGACUUCCACUGAUCUUCAGAGCCUAUGGAAAAGCCCUUCACAAAAGUUCCUCCAACUUCAGCCGCUGUUACUUGACCACUCAUCUCCUCUUCUGAUAGGAACAAUGCUACUUACACACAAAUGGAAAAAGAAAUUACACAAAGCACCACCUCCACCACUACGUCUGAAAAGGAUCAGUGAUCUUUGCUUCUUGGGUAGUUGAUGGAGAAUGAAUAAGCAAGAAAAGAGCUUGCUUUUCAAGGAUCAACUUUCUUGUUUGCCUUCUUUCCUUACAGCACUUAAUUUGUGCACAUAUAAAUAAAACAAAU
Molecule: long non-coding RNA, 1219 nt
Filed under: Numida meleagris (helmeted guineafowl)
Lineage: Eukaryota; Metazoa; Chordata; Aves; Galliformes; Numididae
Description: lncRNA (ENSNMEG00000022128.1)
Source: RNAcentral